Molecule: ribosomal RNA, 2209 nt
Filed under: Triticum aestivum (bread wheat)
Lineage: Eukaryota; Viridiplantae; Streptophyta; Magnoliopsida; Poales; Poaceae
Description: partial small subunit ribosomal RNA
Source: RNAcentral
GCUGAAUUUUCAAAAGAAAAGAAAAAAGAGGACAACAAAACUGAGCUGGCAAAAAUGUCCGCGGAUCCGCGUGACCCAGCCGAGCCCUACGGCCCGCCCGACCCAACCUCCGACACCCGCCGCCGGGAACGCGCAUGCGCAUCCGCCGCCCGUUCUCCGCUGACCGCGCCCACCUUCCCCGCCGGCCGAGUCAACCCAAUCGCCCAACACGAAACCAUCCCAAUUCCCCUCCAUUUCCGCCCAAAAUACUCCGGCAACAGCAAGGCUCACCAGAAUGCGGCCUCUCCUCAGCGCCGCCGCCGUCCUCCUCCUCCUCCUCCUCCCCCUCGCCGCCGGCCAGCGAUUCCGCGGCUUCUCCUACCUCCUCGACUGCGGCGCCGCGGCCCCCUCCACCGACAGCCGCGGCCUCCGCUGGGACCCCGACGGCCCCUACGUCUCCGCCGGCUCCGCCCGUCCGCUCUCGGUCCAGGGCCUCCUCGACCCCACCCUCGCCUCCCUCCGCGUCUUCCCGUAUCGCCCCGCCGCCAAGUUCUGCUACGCGCUCCCCGUCGACCCCAAUCGCCGCUACCUCCUCCGCCCGACCUUCUUCUACGGCCCCUCCUCGACGGCCCCGCCCGUGUUCGACCUCAUCGUCGACGGCACCUUCUGGACCGCCGUCGACACCGCCGAUGACAUCCUGGCCGGCAGCGCCUCGCACUACGAGGCCGUGUUCCCGGCCAGGGGCAGGAACUUGACCUUCUGCCUCGGCGUCAACCCCGACUACACCGACUCCGGCCCGUUCAUCAACGCGCUGCAGGUCAUCCAGCUCCAUGAUUCGGUGUACAACGCCACGGAUUUCACGGGCAGCGCCAUGGGCCUCAUUGCGCGCACCAAGUUUGGCUCCACUGGCGACGUCGAGAGGUACCCUGAUGACAGUUUUGACCGCUAUUGGCAGCCAUUUCCAGACAGCAAACAUGCAGUCAGUAGUACCCACAACGUUACAUCAGCCGAUUUCUGGAAUCUUCCUCCUCCUGAUGUAUUUAAUACAGCUUUGGUAGCAGAACAAAAUGCACCAUUGGUGUUGCAAUGGCCUCCAAUAUCUCUUCAGAAUGGCAGCUAUUAUGUUUCCCUUUAUUUUGCUGAUACAUUGGCUAAUAGUUCGAGGACCUUGGAUGUGAAUAUUAAUGAUUACCAGUUUUACGAAGGGACAGUAACAUCAGCUGGUCUUUCUGUCUUUGCAACUCAAUGGAUUCUCUCAGGCCUAACCAGAGUUAUAUUGACUUCUAAGUCUGUUCUUCCACCACUUAUCAAUGCUGGCGAAGUCUUUGGAAUUUUUCCCAUUGGAAGACUGACAAUUACACGUGAUGCGCUUGCUAUGGAGAGUAUGAAGAGAAGCCUCCAAAACAUACCUGAUGAUUGGAUUGGAGAUCCAUGUAUGCCUCAUGGAUAUGCUUGGACUGGAGUUACAUGUCAAGAAGGACAAAAUGAAAAUAUACGUGUCAUUUCAUUGAACUUUUCAAGUAUGGGUAUCUCCGGAUCUCUGUCACCUGACAUUGCAAACCUGACUGCUCUUACUGAUAUGUAAAUUCUAUUUAUAAUCGAUCAAAGUGAAUGAAAUAUAAGCUAGCAAAAUGACACUAUUACCAUUGGCAGAUCUUUUGCAAACAAUAGCUUGUCUGGAACUAUUCCUGAUCUCAUCAAUCUGGGUAAACUCCAACGACUGUACCUGAAUGAUAACAAGUUGAAUGGAAAAAUAGCUCAGACGUUGGGGACAAUUCAGCCCUUGCGUGAACUAUUCUUGCAAGGCAAUGAGCUGGGUGGAGCAGUUCCACAGAACUUGCUGAACAAAACGGGGUUGACUAGCAAAUUUUGUCCGGGCAAUCAGUUCACACAACCACCGUGCUGACAAUCGAACAUCUUAUUGAAGACAGUAGGAUGGUGUGUUUGUUCUUUUAGGAUGGCUAGAGCAAGAUUUUGUAACCAGUCAAAUGUAUGUACAGUAAAAUGAUUGGAAUCCAGUGAGACGAGUUGGCGGAAGCAGGUGAAGAUAAAGAAUCCUGAUUGUACAGUGCCAAUUCUGUAGUUUACAUUGUCAGUGUGUAAUGCAAGGAGAAAAUGAAACACUGUUAAAUUCUCUCAACUUGCUUUGGACUGCGUUCCAACGAAACAUUACAACCCUGAACUGAAUCAGAUUCCUUUUUUUAGAUGAACUGAAUCAGAUUCCUUGCAU